UGGGGAAUAUUGCACAAUGGGGGAAACCCUGAUGCAGCGACGCCGCGUGAGCGAAGAAGGUUUUCGAAUCGUAAAGCUCUGUCCUAUGGGAAGAUAAUGACGGUACCAUAGGAGGAAGCCCCGGCUAACUACGUGCCAGCAGCCGCGGUAAUACGUAGGGGGCAAGCGUUGUCCGGAAUCACUGGGCGUAAAGGGUUCGCAGGCGGAAAUCCAAGUCAGUUGUGAAAGGCAGAGGCUCAACCUCUGUAAGCAAUUGAAACUGUAGUUCUUGAGAUGUGGAGAGGAAAGUGGAAUUCCUAGUGUAGCGGUGAAAUGCGUAGAUAUUAGGAAGAAUACCGGUGGCGAAGGCGACUUGCUGGACACAAACUGACGCUGAGGAACGAAAGCGUGGGUAGCAAACAGG
Molecule: ribosomal RNA, 403 nt
Filed under: Verrucomicrobiota bacterium
Lineage: Bacteria; Pseudomonadati; Verrucomicrobiota
Description: Verrucomicrobia bacterium partial 16S ribosomal RNA
Rfam family: Bacterial small subunit ribosomal RNA
Source: RNAcentral